RNAcentral lists this non-coding RNA (45 nucleotides) under Schistosoma bovis. Lineage: Eukaryota; Metazoa; Platyhelminthes; Trematoda; Strigeidida; Schistosomatidae. The record is from RNAcentral. RNAcentral also lists the same sequence under 1 other name.
AUCCAACUAACGAGUUCCAAAUAGGACACAAUGCGCGUCUUGGAU